Molecule: ribosomal RNA, 484 nt
Filed under: uncultured bacterium
Lineage: Bacteria
Description: partial 16S ribosomal RNA
Rfam family: Bacterial small subunit ribosomal RNA
Source: RNAcentral
GACGAACGCUGGCGGCGUGCUUAACACAUGCAAGUCGAACGAUGAAGCCGGAGCUUGCUCUGGUGAAUUAGUGGCGAACGGGUGAGUAACACGUGAGUAACCUGCCCUUGACUCUGGGAUAACUGCUAGAAAUGGUAGCUAAUACCGGAUACGACCCUCGGCGGCAUCGCCAGGGGGUGGAAAGAAUUUCGGUCAAGGAUGGACUCGCGGCCUAUCAGCUAGUUGGUGAGGUAACGGCUCACCAAGGCGACGACGGGUAGCCGGCCUGGGAGGGUGACCGGCCACACUGGGACUGAGACACGGCCCAGACUCCUACGGGAGGCAGCAGUGGGGAAUAUUGCACAAUGGGCGCAAGCCUGAUGCAGCAACGCCGCGUGAGGGAUGACGGCCUUCGGGUUGUAAACCUCUUUUAGUAGGGAAGAAGCGAAAGUGACGGUACCUGCAGAAAAAGCACCGGCUAACUAUGUGCCAGCCGCCGCCGUAA